CCUACGGGUGGCAGCAGUGGGGAAUAUUGCACAAUGGGGGAAACCCUGAUGCAGCGACGCCGCGUGAGUGAAGAAGUAUUUCGGUAUGUAAAGCUCUAUCAGCAGGGAAGAAGAAAGACGGUACCUGACUAAGAAGCCCCGGCUAACUACGUGCCAGCAGCCGCGGUAAUACGUAGGGGGCAAGCGUUAUCCGGAAUUACUGGGUGUAAAGGGUGAGUAGGCGGCAUGGUAAGCCAGAUGUGAAAGCCUUGGGCUUAACCCGAGGAUUGCAUUUGGAACUAUCAAGCUAGAGUACAGGAGAGGAAAGCGGAAUUCCUAGUGUAGCGGUGAAAUGCGUAGAUAUUAGGAGGAACACCAGUGGCGAAGGCGGCCUACUGGACGGUGACUGACGCUGAGGCUCGAAAGCGUGGGGAGCAAACAGGAUUAGAUACCCGGGUAGUC
RNAcentral lists this ribosomal RNA (441 nucleotides) under uncultured bacterium. Its description in RNAcentral is "partial 16S ribosomal RNA". It matches the Rfam family "Bacterial small subunit ribosomal RNA", at positions 338 to 795 of the family's 1533-position model. The record is from RNAcentral.